ACUAAGCGUACACGGUGGAUGCCCUGGCAGUCAGAGGCGAUGAAGGACGUGCUAAUCUGCGAUAAGCGUCGGUAAGGUGAUAUGAACCGUUAUAACCGGCGAUUUCCGAAUGGGGAAACCCAGUGUGAUUCGUCACACUAUCAUUAACUGAAUCCAUAGGUUAAUGAGGCGAACCGGGGGAACUGAAACAUCUAAGUACCCCGAGGAAAAGAAAUCAACCGAGAUUCCCCCAGUAGCGGCGAGCGAACGGGGAGCAGCCCAGAGCCUGAAUCAGUGUGUGUGUUAGUGGAAGCGUCUGGAAAGGCGCGCGAUACAGGGUGACAGCCCCGUACACAAAAAUGCACAUGCUGUGAGCUCGAUGAGUAGGGCGGGACACGUGGUAUCCUGUCUGAAUAUGGGGGGACCAUCCUCCAAGGCUAAAUACUCCUGACUGACCGAUAGUGAACCAGUACCGUGAGGGAAAGGCGAAAAGAACCCCGGCGAGGGGAGUGAAAAAGAACCUGAAACCGUGUACGUACAAGCAGUGGGAGCACGCUUAGGCGUGUGACUGCGUACCUUUUGUAUAAUGGGUCAGCGACUUAUAUUCUGUAGCAAGGUUAACCGAAUAGGGGAGCCGAAGGGAAACCGAGUCUUAACUGGGCGUUAAGUUGCAGGGUAUAGACCCGAAACCCGGUGAUCUAGCCAUGGGCAGGUUGAAGGUUGGGUAACACUAACUGGAGGACCGAACCGACUAAUGUUGAAAAAUUAGCGGAUGACUUGUGGCUGGGGGUGAAAGGCCAAUCAAACCGGGAGAUAGCUGGUUCUCCCCGAAAGCUAUUUAGGUAGCGCCUCGUGAAUUCAUCUCCGGGGGUAGAGCACUGUUUCGGCAAGGGGGUCAUCCCGACUUACCAACCCGAUGCAAACUGCGAAUACCGGAGAAUGUUAUCACGGGAGACACACGGCGGGUGCUAACGUCCGUCGUGAAGAGGGAAACAACCCAGACCGCCAGCUAAGGUCCCAAAGUCAUGGUUAAGUGGGAAACGAUGUGGGAAGGCCCAGACAGCCAGGAUGUUGGCUUAGAAGCAGCCAUCAUUUAAAGAAAGCGUAAUAGCUCACUGGUCGAGUCGGCCUGCGCGGAAGAUGUAACGGGGCUAAACCAUGCACCGAAGCUGCGGCAGCGACGCUGAUGCGUUGUUGGGUAGGGGAGCGUUCUGUAAGCCUGUGAAGGUGUGCUGUGAGGCAUGCUGGAGGUAUCAGAAGUGCGAAUGCUGACAUAAGUAACGAUAAAGCGGGUGAAAAGCCCGCUCGCCGGAAGACCAAGGGUUCCUGUCCAACGUUAAUCGGGGCAGGGUGAGUCGACCCCUAAGGCGAGGCCGAAAGGCGUAGUCGAUGGGAAACAGGUUAAUAUUCCUGUACUUGGUGUUACUGCGAAGGGGGGACGGAGAAGGCUAUGUUGGCCGGGCGACGGUUGUCCCGGUUUAAGCGUGUAGGCUGGUUUUCCAGGCAAAUCCGGAAAAUCAAGGCUGAGGCGUGAUGACGAGGCACUACGGUGCUGAAGCAACAAAUGCCCUGCUUCCAGGAAAAGCCUCUAAGCAUCAGGUAACAUCAAAUCGUACCCCAAACCGACACAGGUGGUCAGGUAGAGAAUACCAAGGCGCUUGAGAGAACUCGGGUGAAGGAACUAGGCAAAAUGGUGCCGUAACUUCGGGAGAAGGCACGCUGAUAUGUAGGUGAAGCGACUUGCUCGUGGAGCUGAAAUCAGUCGAAGAUACCAGCUGGCUGCAACUGUUUAUUAAAAACACAGCACUGUGCAAACACGAAAGUGGACGUAUACGGUGUGACGCCUGCCCGGUGCCGGAAGGUUAAUUGAUGGGGUCAGCGCAAGCGAAGCUCUUGAUCGAAGCCCCGGUAAACGGCGGCCGUAACUAUAACGGUCCUAAGGUAGCGAAAUUCCUUGUCGGGUAAGUUCCGACCUGCACGAAUGGCGUAAUGAUGGCCAGGCUGUCUCCACCCGAGACUCAGUGAAAUUGAACUCGCUGUGAAGAUGCAGUGUACCCGCGGCAAGACGGAAAGACCCCGUGAACCUUUACUAUAGCUUGACACUGAACAUUGAGCCUUGAUGUGUAGGAUAGGUGGGAGGCUUUGAAGUGUGGACGCCAGUCUGCAUGGAGCCGACCUUGAAAUACCACCCUUUAAUGUUUGAUGUUCUAACGUUGACCCGUAAUCCGGGUUGCGGACAGUGUCUGGUGGGUAGUUUGACUGGGGCGGUCUCCUCCUAAAGAGUAACGGAGGAGCACGAAGGUUGGCUAAUCCUGGUCGGACAUCAGGAGGUUAGUGCAAUGGCAUAAGCCAGCUUGACUGCGAGCGUGACGGCGCGAGCAGGUGCGAAAGCAGGUCAUAGUGAUCCGGUGGUUCUGAAUGGAAGGGCCAUCGCUCAACGGAUAAAAGGUACUCCGGGGAUAACAGGCUGAUACCGCCCAAGAGUUCAUAUCGACGGCGGUGUUUGGCACCUCGAUGUCGGCUCAUCACAUCCUGGGGCUGAAGUAGGUCCCAAGGGUAUGGCUGUUCGCCAUUUAAAGUGGUACGCGAGCUGGGUUUAGAACGUCGUGAGACAGUUCGGUCCCUAUCUGCCGUGGGCGCUGGAGAACUGAGGGGGGCUGCUCCUAGUACGAGAGGACCGGAGUGGACGCAUCACUGGUGUUCGGGUUGUCAUGCCAAUGGCACUGCCCGGUAGCUAAAUGCGGAAGAGAUAAGUGCUGAAAGCAUCUAAGCACGAAACUUGCCCCGAGAUGAGUUCUCCCUGACUCCUUGAGAGUCCUGAAGGAACGUUGAAGACGACGACGUUGAUAGGCCGGGUGUGUAAGCGCAGCGAUGCGUUGAGCUAACCGGUACUAAUGAACCGUGAGGCUUAACC
This 2893-nucleotide ribosomal RNA is filed under the name Escherichia coli. RNAcentral describes it as "bacterial LSU rRNA". It matches the Rfam family "Bacterial large subunit ribosomal RNA". The record is from RNAcentral. Lineage: Bacteria; Pseudomonadati; Pseudomonadota; Gammaproteobacteria; Enterobacterales; Enterobacteriaceae.